RNAcentral lists this ribosomal RNA (536 nucleotides) under uncultured soil bacterium. RNAcentral's name for it is "bacterial SSU rRNA". It matches the Rfam family "Bacterial small subunit ribosomal RNA", at positions 35 to 573 of the family's 1533-position model. The record is from RNAcentral.
GCUGGCGGCGUGCUUAACACAUGCAAGUCGAGUGCGCGCCUGUAGCAAUACAGGUGGCGCACGGCGCACGGGUGCGUAACACGUGGGCAAUCUGCCCUCUGAUGGGGAAUAACCCGCCGAAAGGCGGGCUAAUACCGCAUAAAAUUCCUUGGACUUAUGUUCGAGGACUCAAAGGCGUAAGUCGUCGGAGGAGGAGCCCGCGCACGAUUAGCUAGUUGGUAGGGUAAUGGCCUACCAAGGCUUUGAUCGUUAGCUGGUCUGAGAGGAUGGCCAGCCACACUGGAACUGAGACACGGUCCAGACUCCUACGGGAGGCAGCAGUGGGGAAUCUUGCACAAUGGGCGAAAGCCUGAUGCAGCGACGCCGCGUGGGGGAUGAAGCAUUUCGGUGUGUAAACCCCUUUCGAUCCGGACGAAUGCCUCGCAAGAGGAGUGACGGUACGGAUAUAAGAAGCCCCGGCUAACUACGUGCCAGCAGCCGCGGUAAGACGUAGGGGGCCAGCGUUGUUCGGAAUUACUGGGUGUAAAGGGUUCGUA